AAUGAACGCUGGCGGCGUGCCUAACACAUGCAAGUCGAACGAGAAAGUUCCUUCGGGAAUGAGUAGAGUGGCGCACGGGUGAGUAACGCGUGGGUAAUCUGCCCUUGGAUUUGGGAUAACUUCGCGAAAGUGGAGCUAAUACCGGAUAGUCUGGCUUUGUAAAAGGAGUCGGUAAAGGAUGCCUCUGCAUAUGCAUUCGUCCGAGGAUGAGCCCGCGUCUCAUUAGCUAGUUGGUAGGGUAACGGCCUACCAAGGCGACGAUGAGUAGCUGGUCUGAGAGGAUGAUCAGCCACACUGGGACUGAAACACGGCCCAGACUCCUGCGGGAGGCAGCAGUGGGGAAUAUUGCGCAAUGGGCGAAAGCCUGACGCAGCAACGCCGUGUGAGGGAUGAAGGUUUUCGGAUCGUAAACCUCUGUCAGAAGGGAAGAAGUGGUGCGGGUCCAACAGGCCCGUAUCUUGACGGUACCUUCAAAGGAAGCACCGGCUAACUCCGUGCCAGCAGCCGCGGUAAUACGGAGGGUGCAAGCGUUAUUCGGAAUUACUGGGCGUAAAGCGCACGUAGGCGGCCUUGUAAGUCAGGUGUGAAAUCCCACGGCUCAACCGUGGAACUGCACUUGAAACUGCGGGGCUCGAAUCCUGGAGAGGGCGGCGGAAUUCCUGGUGUAGGAGUGAAAUCCGUAGAUAUCAGGAGGAACACCGGUGGCGAAGGCGGCCGCCUGGACAGGUAUUGACGCUGAGGUGCGAAAGUGUGGGGAGCAAACAGGAUUAGAUACCCUGGUAGUCCACACCGUAAACGAUGGAUACUAGGUGUCGGGGACUUGAUCCUCGGUGCCGCAGUUAACGCGUUAAGUAUCCCGCCUGGGGAGUACGGUCGCAAGGCUGAAACUCAAAGAAAUUGACGGGGGCCCGCACAAGCGGUGGAGUAUGUGGUUUAAUUCGAUGCAACGCGAAGAACCUUACCUGGGCUUGACAUCCUGGGAAUUCCGCAGAGAUGCGGAAGUGCCCUUCGGGGAAUCCAGAGACAGGUGCUGCAUGGCUGUCGUCAGCUCGUGCCGUGAGGUGUUGGGUUAAGUCCCGCAACGAGCGCAACCCCUAUCCUCAGUUGCCAGCAGGUAAAGCUGGGCACUCUGUGGAGACUGCCCGGGUUAACCGGGAGGAAGGUGGGGACGACGUCAAGUCAUCAUGGCCCUUACGCCCAGGGCUACACACGUACUACAAUGGUGGGCACAAAGGGCAGCGAAACCGCGAGGUCCAGCCAAUCCCAAAAAACCCAUCAUAGUCCGGAUUGCAGUCUGCAACUCGACUGCAUGAAGUUGGAAUCGCUAGUAAUCCCGGAUCAGCAUGCCGGGGUGAAUACGUUCCCGGGCCUUGUACACACCGCCCGUCACACCACGAAAGUCGGUUCUACCCGAAGCCGCCAGGCUAACCCGCAAGGGAUGCAGGCGUCUACGGUAGGGCUGGUAAUUGGGGUGA
Molecule: ribosomal RNA, 1475 nt
Filed under: Desulfomicrobium orale
Lineage: Bacteria; Pseudomonadati; Thermodesulfobacteriota; Desulfovibrionia; Desulfovibrionales; Desulfomicrobiaceae
Description: bacterial SSU rRNA
Rfam family: Bacterial small subunit ribosomal RNA
Source: RNAcentral